UACUAUGGCCAUGCCACCCUGAAUUAGCUGGCUCCAGUCUGAUCCCGAAAGCUAAGCAGGGUUGGGCGUGGUUAGUACUUGGAUGGGAGACCACCUAGGAAGACCAGGUGCUAUAGGAG
This 119-nucleotide ribosomal RNA is filed under the name Pteropus alecto (black flying fox). Lineage: Eukaryota; Metazoa; Chordata; Mammalia; Chiroptera; Pteropodidae. The record is from RNAcentral.